Molecule: long non-coding RNA, 489 nt
Filed under: Salmo salar (Atlantic salmon)
Lineage: Eukaryota; Metazoa; Chordata; Actinopteri; Salmoniformes; Salmonidae
Description: lncRNA (ENSSSAG00000093443.1)
Source: RNAcentral
UGUAUUUAGUGGAGACUCACGUGAGUUGCGUCAGCCAGGCUAACUUCACUUGGAUUCUGAUUAAACUAUAGAAUGGAACUUCAUUGUAACCAGACUCCCAUCGAACCCACGGGCCCUUCAGAGGCUAUUGAUUUAAAAUUCAACAUUUAGCAGAUCUUCAAAACCCCGCUAGAUGGCGUGCCCGUCCAUCAGAUCUCGGAGGCCUACAUCUUUUGCAUGAAGGACCUGAGCCCUAGGACCAUGCCUCAGGACUACCUGGCAUGAUGACUCCUUGCUGUCCCCAGUCCACCUGGCCGUACUGCUGCUCCAGUUUCAACUGUUCUGCCUGCGGCUAUGGAACCCUGACCUGUUCACCGGACGUGCUUGUUGCACCCUCGACAACUACUAUGAUUAUUAUUAUUUGACCAUGCUGGUCAUUUAUGAACAUUUUAACAUCUUGACCAUGUUCUGUUAUAAUAUCCACCCGGCACAGCCAGAAGAGGACUGGCC